Molecule: ribosomal RNA, 602 nt
Filed under: uncultured archaeon
Lineage: Archaea
Description: bacterial SSU rRNA
Rfam family: Archaeal small subunit ribosomal RNA
Source: RNAcentral
UUCCGGUUGAUCCUGCCGGAGGACAUUGCUAUUGGGAUUCGAUUUAGCCAUGCUAGUCGAGCGAGUUCAGACUCGCGGCGAAUAGCUCAGUAACACGUGGCCAAGCUCCCCUUCAGUCAGCGAUACCCUCGGGAAACUGAGGUUAACAGCUGAUACAAAACGCCAGCUGGAAUGCGGCGUUUCAGAAAGACAUCGCUGAAGGAUGCGGCUGCGGCCGAUUAGGUAGACGGUGGGGUAACGGCCCACCGUGCCAGUAAUCGGUACGGGUGAUGAGAGUCAGAGCCCGGAGACGGAAUCUGAGACAAGAUUCCGGGCCCUACGGGGCGCAGCAGGCGCGAAACCUUUACACUGCACGGAAGUGCGAUAGGGGAAUCCCAAGUGCGAGGGCAUAUUAGCCCUCGCUUUUCUCGACUGUAAGGUGGUCGACGAAUAAGAGCUGGGCAAGACCGGUGCCAGCCGCCGCGGUAAUACCGGCAGCUCAAGUGAUGUCCCAUAUUAUUGGGCCUAAAGCGUCCGUAGCUGGCCGACCAAGUCUACCGGGAAAUCCACCCGCCCAACGGGUGGGCGUCCGGUAGAAACUGGCCGGCUUGGAACCGGAAGGC